This 334-nucleotide unclassified non-coding RNA is filed under the name soil metagenome. RNAcentral's name for it is "partial contains 5.8S ribosomal RNA, internal transcribed spacer 2, and large subunit ribosomal RNA". The stretch from base 1 to 120 matches the Rfam family "5.8S ribosomal RNA", at positions 35 to 154 of the family's 154-position model. The record is from RNAcentral.
GAUGAAGAACGUAGCGAAAUGCGAUAAGUAAUGUGAAUUGCAGAAUUCAGUGAAUCAUCGAAUCUUUGAACGCACAUUGCGCCCGCCAGUAUUCUGGCGGGCAUGCCUGUUCGAGCGUCAUUUCAACCAUCAAGCCCUGCUUGCGUUGGGGUCCUGCGGCUGCCCGCAGGCCCUGAAAACCAGUGGCGGGCUCGCUAGUCACACCGAGCGCAGUAGAUUACUCUUCGCUCAGGGCGUGUGGCGGGUUCCAGCCGUGAAACCCCCUACUUCUCAAGGUUGACCUCGGAUCAGGUAGGAAUACCCGCUGAACUUAAGCAUAUCAAUAAGCGGAGGA